Molecule: long non-coding RNA, 1619 nt
Organism: Heterocephalus glaber (naked mole-rat)
Lineage: Eukaryota; Metazoa; Chordata; Mammalia; Rodentia; Bathyergidae
Source: Ensembl
AGCUGCUCCUACAAGCGGCUACGCGCUUCUCGCGGGCUGCGGCUUAGUCAUCUGAGUUGCAGAGUCACGAGGGGGAAGCUGGAAUCCGGGUGACAAAGAGAAGUCACCCGGCCAACUGUGUCAUCUGAAAGCGGUAACUGCUCGAAAGCCCCGCUUUCAUCUGUAAAACUGGUUAACUGCACGGCCGGCCGGGUGCUUCUAGGGGAAAAGGCAAGUUACAGAACAGUAUGUACAGUGUGGUCCCGGUUUCUCAAAAAGACUGUGUUUAUGUUUACAUUUUUCAAAUUCAAGGAGACUAUACAUCAGAUUCUUACAGUUGUUUGAGGUGAAACAAAGAGUUUCAGUUCUUUUUCGUGCAUUUUUUAAUCAUUUGAAGUUUUUACAAAGUAGAUAAUAUCUUUGAGCCUUUAUCUGUGAAAUGAUAAUAACACCUACCUUGCAGGUUUAUAAUGAAAACUGGAUAAGAUAAUGCAUGGAAACAGCCCCAUGAAUCAUCCAUUGAUAUGAUAAAUGUUUUGCCUUUUUCUUCUCUUUAAUGGUGUGGCAUUUUGUAUUUGUCAAAAAUGCACCUCAAACAUUAACUACCCUUAGGCUUAGACCCUCCAAUCCUCCUAUACAGAAAUUCAGCUCCAAAGGGUUCUGGUCUGUGUUAGGGAAACCCAAAGAGAUAACAAAGAGCAAGCCACCACAAGACAAGGGAGAUGCUGGUUUUGCCUCUGUCCGGUUUUCACAGUGUAUCUCCCACGCAGCCUGGCUCCUAAGGGACGGGAAAGGAGGGUCUCAGCUGUACUAUUGGGAGAGCCAGACCACAUCCUGCCUUGGGAUCUCAGAAGUGAACUCAGGAAAUUUGUACAAACAGCAAUCUACAGAAAGGUAGGGAAUUAGAUCUCCUUAGGGCACUUGAAGUCUGCAACCACAGUUCUCCCUUCCCUCUCCUCUGUAUGCCCUGGAACUUUCCAGACCAAACAAAGCCUGCAAAACUAGCUGAGUUUGCUGAUCAAUGAAAGGCAGCUCAUCAGUCCUAGCACAAGCUCUUUCCUCUACCUGGAACAUCUUCCUCCAGAUACUCACAUGCUUAGCUGCCUGUCCUCCUUCAAGUGUUUGUCAAAUGCCCUUAGUCUUUCGGGGUUGCUACAACAAAAUCCCAUAAGCUAGGGAGCUUACAAGGAACAGAGACUCACUUCUCACAGUUCUGAAGCCUGGAAAGUUACCAAAUCAGUCAACUUGGAGUCAGGUCAUUUAGGUGAAUAAGGACACUUUAUCCAUCCUCCUGAAGAAUAUUGGACUCUAACCAAGCAAGUCUCAGAGCAUUCUGCCUGGAACAGGGAGCAACCAGCUUAACUCUGGGCAGCCAAAGGUAACAGCCAGCCAAAAGGACAAAGAAGAGCUUCACUUCUGAGCCUCACCAGUGGGUGCUACCCUCUGACCAGCUUUCUCUAUACAGUCAGCAAUGCCAAGACUGGUUUCUUCAACAAAAACCCAAAGGCAGAUUUACCUCCUCUCUCCACUGGCUCUUGUACCUUGCUACAAAUUCACAACAAGGUCAAUUGAGCAUAAGCGUCCACAUUUGUAGCUGUUUUGCAGAAUAGUUUUGCAUUUGUUGGGUCUUAUAAUAAAAU